AACAAGAACUGUUGAUAAAACAAGAGUUGAUCGCUCUUGUCAAAGUGAAUCCUGCUUUAUAUGCAAAAAAUUGGAAAGAAUAUGCUGGAAUAAAUUUUUGCAAAGAUUUAGCUUGGGAGAGCAUUGGAUUUAAUUUGUCAAAAAAAAUGUCAGGAAAAGAUGCUGCAAAGAUGUGAUAUAAUAUUCGUCAGCGAUUUGGUAAAGAAAGGCGGAAAGUCGUAACAUCUCUUAAAGGAAAAUCUGGGCAAGGAACAAAACCCGUGUAUGUGCCAAAAUGGAAAUUUUACGAUCUAUGUUUAUUCUUGGUAGACCAUAUCACACCUCGAAAAACUGUCAGUAAUUACACGUCAAAGAAUGUGAAAAAUACCACAACUAUUGGAAAAAUUUCUCCUUCUCCGAUAUUUAUUCUGCCUUCACCAUCACUUUCUCCAUUAUCUGCACCAAGAUCAAUACCUCCACAAGCAUUAUCUCCACAAGUACCAUCUUCACAAAUAUUGUCUUCACAAUUACUAUCUUCACAAAUACUGU
This is a long non-coding RNA of Wasmannia auropunctata (little fire ant), 528 nucleotides long. RefSeq lists it as uncharacterized. The transcript has 3 exons. The record is from RefSeq and is a predicted model, not a curated record. NCBI's taxonomy places the organism in Eukaryota, Metazoa, Arthropoda, Insecta, Hymenoptera, Formicidae.